AUCCCGCUGACGAGUCGAAAAUAGGACGAAACACGCGUCCUGGAC
RNAcentral lists this non-coding RNA (45 nucleotides) under Schistosoma mansoni. Lineage: Eukaryota; Metazoa; Platyhelminthes; Trematoda; Strigeidida; Schistosomatidae. The record is from RNAcentral.